CCCUUAGAUGUUCUGGGCCGCACGCGUGCUACACUGAGUGGAUCAGCGGGUCAGGUUGCGCGAAAGUGUUUCCUAAUCUUGAAAUCCGCUCGUGAUGGGGAUUGACGGUUGCAAUUUUUCGUCAUGAACGAGGAAUACCUUGUAAGCGCGGGUCAUCAUCCCGCGCUGAAUACGUCCCUGCCCUUUGUACACACCGCCCGUCGCUCCUACCGAUUGAGUGGUCCGGUGAGGCUUUGGGAUCUGAGCGGAAAGAGCGUUUCGCUGUUUCUGCUCGGAAAACUCAGUCGAACCUUAUCAUUUAGAGGAAGGAGAAGUCGUAACA
Molecule: ribosomal RNA, 322 nt
Filed under: uncultured eukaryote
Lineage: Eukaryota
Description: partial 18S ribosomal RNA
Rfam family: Eukaryotic small subunit ribosomal RNA
Source: RNAcentral